AUCAGUGUGUGUAGUUCUUGAAAUACAUUCAGGAAUGUAUAUCCUGAAUAGUUAGAGUACCCCUAGUUAGAAAGCUGUGCCAGCCAACCUCACUGGUU
Turdus rufiventris (rufous-bellied thrush) is the source of this 98-nucleotide non-coding RNA. Lineage: Eukaryota; Metazoa; Chordata; Aves; Passeriformes; Turdidae. The record is from the annotation of a GenBank genome assembly.